RNAcentral lists this ribosomal RNA (793 nucleotides) under uncultured bacterium. RNAcentral's name for it is "bacterial SSU rRNA". It matches the Rfam family "Bacterial small subunit ribosomal RNA", at positions 8 to 798 of the family's 1533-position model. The record is from RNAcentral.
AGAGUUUGAUCAUGGCUCAGAUUGAACGCUGGCGGCAUGCCUUACACAUGCAAGUCGAACGGUAACAGGUCUUCGGAUGCUGACGAGUGGCGAACGGGUGAGUAAUACAUCGGAACGUGCCCGAUCGUGGGGGAUAACGAAGCGAAAGCUUUGCUAAUACCGCAUACGAUCUACGGAUGAAAGCAGGGGACCGCAAGGCCUUGCGCGAACGGAGCGGCCGAUGGCAGAUUAGGUAGUUGGUGGGAUACAAGCUUACCAAGCCGACGAUCUGUAGCUGGUCUGAGAGGACGACCAGCCACACUGGGACUGAGACACGGCCCAGACUCCUACGGGAGGCAGCAGUGGGGAAUUUUGGACAAUGGGCGAAAGCCUGAUCCAGCCAUGCCGCGUGCAGGAUGAAGGCCUUCGGGUUGUAAACUGCUUUUGUACGGAACGAAAAGACUCUGGUUAAUACCUGGGGUCCAUGACGGUACCGUAAGAAUAAGCACCGGCUAACUACGUGCCAGCAGCCGCGGUAAUACGUAGGGUGCAAGCGUUAAUCGGAAUUACUGGGCGUAAAGCGUGCGCAGGCGGUUAUAUAAGACAGAUGUGAAAUCCCCGGGCUCAACCUGGGAACUGCAUUUGUGACUGUAUAGCUAGAGUACGGCAGAGGGGGAUGGAAUUCCGCGUGUAGCAGUGAAAUGCGUAGAUAUGCGGAGGAACACCGAUGGCGAAGGCAAUCCCCUGGGCCUGUACUGACGCUCAUGCACGAAAGCGUGGGGAGCAAACAGGAUUAGAUACCCCGGUAGUCCAA